UGGGGAAUAUUGGACAAUGGAGGAAACUCUGAUCCAGCAAUUCUGUGUGUGUGAAGAAGGUUUUAGGACUGUAAAACACUUUUAGUAGGGAAGAAAAAAAUGACGGUACCUACAGAAGAAGCAACGGCUAAAUACGUGCCAGCAGCCGCGGUAAUACGUAUGUUGCGAGCGUUAUCCGGAAUUAUUGGGCUUAAAGGGCAUCUAGGCGGUAAGACAAGUUGAAGGUGAAAACCUGUGGCUCAACCAUAGGCUUGCCUACAAAACUGUUGAACUAGAGUACUGGAAAGGUGGGUGGAACUACACGAGUAGGGGUGAAAUUCGUAGAUGUGUGUAGGAAUGCCGAUGAUGAAGAUAACUCACUGGACAGAAACUGACGCUGAAGUGCGAAAGCUAGGGGAGCAAACAGG
Molecule: ribosomal RNA, 407 nt
Filed under: Verrucomicrobiota bacterium
Lineage: Bacteria; Pseudomonadati; Verrucomicrobiota
Description: Verrucomicrobia bacterium partial 16S ribosomal RNA
Rfam family: Bacterial small subunit ribosomal RNA
Source: RNAcentral